RNAcentral lists this ribosomal RNA (1374 nucleotides) under Triticum aestivum (bread wheat). RNAcentral describes it as "partial small subunit ribosomal RNA". Lineage: Eukaryota; Viridiplantae; Streptophyta; Magnoliopsida; Poales; Poaceae. The record is from RNAcentral.
AUGAUUUUGAUUCAGAAGAAAGAUAAAACUUGGAGGCCAGUCUUUGACUACAGACAUCUGAAUGCCAUUACUGUUAAAAGCAAGUUUCCCAUCCCAGUAAUAGAUGAAUUGUUGGAUGAACUAGCUGGUUCUUGUUGGUUUUAUAAGUUGGAUCUUCGGUCUGGUUAUCAUCAAAUCAGACUUGCACCAGGUGACGAGCAUAAAACUGCUUUCCAAACACAUAUAGGGCACUAUGAGUUCCCGGUGCUGUCAUUUGGUCUCACAGGAGGACCAUCCACUUUUCAGUUUGCUAUGAAUGACACCUUAUCACCCUGCGUGAGAAAAUAUGUCAUUGUCUUCUUCGAUGAUAUCUUAGUUUUCAGUGCCACUUAUGCUCUCCACCUGCAUCAUUUGGAAGAAGUGUUGAAAUUGCUAUUGCAGCAUCAAUGGCAGGUGAAACUCUCUAAGUGUUCUUUUGCUCAGACCCAAAUUGGCUAUCUGGGGCAUAUUAUUAGUGGGCAAGGUGUCUCCACUGACCCAGAUAAAAUUGCCACUAUCCAGAAUUGGCCAAUUCCUGUAUCUGCUAAGGAAGUGAGAGGUUUCCUCGGGUUAGCUGGGUAUUACAGGAAAUUCAUUCGUCACUAUGGCAUUGUCAGUAAACCACUUACUAAUUUGUUGAAGAAGGGGGUUCCUUUCCACUGGACACAAAAUGAACAACAAGCUUUCACUGUCCUGAAACAAGCUCUCAUGUCAGCUCUAGUUUUAGCUCUGCCCAAUUUUUCUUCUCCUUUUGUCAUUGAGACAGAUGCUUGUGAUGUGGGCAUUGGGGCGGUGCUUAUGCAAGAUGGUCACCCCCUUGCUUAUGUUAGUAAAGCCUUGGGACCCAGGAACCAAACAUUGUCUGUAUAUGAAAAAGAGUAUUUGGCAAUCCUUCUUGCUGUAGACCACUGGCGUCAAUAUUUGCAAGUUUCUGAGUUUGUUAUCAGAACGGAUCAGCGCAGUUUGGCUAGUCUGUCUGAACAAAGGUUGCAUACAAAAUGGCAGCAGAAAGCUCUUACAAAAUUGCUGGGCCUGCAGUACAACAUCUGCUAUAAAAAAGGGACUGAGAACAGUGCAGCUGACUCUCUUUCCAGGAAACCUCACGACCCUACCGAAGUAUUACCAGAACUUCAAACCAUAUCAUCUGCUCAACCUGCUUGGUUAGAGGAUAUUGCGCAGAGUUACAUGUCUGACAAGUUCGCCACUGAACUUUUGCAGAAGUUGUCGACAAGUUCCACUCCUGACAACAAGUUUUCCUUAACAACUGGUAUUAUUAGAGUGGACAACUGUAUUUGGGUGGGUGCCAGCCCUGAAUUGCAUCAACAAUUGUAUCUGCUUUUCAUGACAGUCCUUUAG